This 299-nucleotide signal recognition particle RNA is filed under the name Aotus nancymaae (Ma's night monkey). RNAcentral describes it as "Metazoan signal recognition particle RNA (ENSANAG00000001508.1)". It matches the Rfam family "Metazoan signal recognition particle RNA". From Rfam's summary of the family: The signal recognition particle (SRP) is a universally conserved ribonucleoprotein. It is involved in the co-translational targeting of proteins to membranes. The record is from RNAcentral. Lineage: Eukaryota; Metazoa; Chordata; Mammalia; Primates; Aotidae.
GCUGGGUACUGUGGUGCGUGCCUGUAGUCCCACCUAUUUGGGAGGCUGAGGCUGGAGGAUCUCUUGAGUCCAGGAGUUCUGGGCUGUAGUGCGCUAUGCUGAUCAGGUGUUCGCACUAAGUUCGACAUCAAUAUGGUGACCUCCUGGGAGUCGGGGACCACCAGGUUUCCUAAGGAGGGGUAAACCGGCCCAGGUCGGAAACAAAGCAGGUCAAAACUCCUGUACUGAUCAGUAGUGGGAUCGCGCCUGUGAAUAGCCACUGCACUCCAGCCUGGACAACAUAGCGAGACCCCGUCUCU